Molecule: long non-coding RNA, 141 nt
Organism: Eubalaena glacialis (North Atlantic right whale)
Lineage: Eukaryota; Metazoa; Chordata; Mammalia; Artiodactyla; Balaenidae
Exons: 3
Source: RefSeq, a predicted model, not a curated record
AAUGUUCCAUGAGCACUUGAGAAGAAUGUGUAUUCUGUUGUUUUUGGAUGGAAUGUCCUGUAAAUAUCAGUAUUUGUCAUUAUCUGUGGAUUCACUGUGGAGCUCCCUGAAGUCCUUAUAGGACCCGGACCUUCUGAACCU